UCAGCUGAAGACACUAAUCCACAAGCAGUAGUUAUAGUAAAAUAUAAAAGGAAAACUGUGCACAAUGGUGGCUAUUAUGACAAGUCUAGAUGUCAUACAGUGAUGUGUCAUUGCAUCAUCGUGCUGUGACUGGAUGCAGUAAAAAGAACGUGGAGAAAAAAAAUGAUCUGAAGAACUUAUCUGCAAGAGAGGCUAGUUCCUGGUGCUCCCCACCCCAAUUUCUACAAAAUGCCCUCAUUUGGAUUUACGCAGUGUUGUUGUAGCUGUGUUGGUCCCAAGGGCUGGGGUCAGAAGAGUGGAAAAUCCCUGAACAAGAGGACAAGGAACCAAGAAAGAUGGUUCUGGAUUGACUGAGUGGCUAGUCCUGGAAAUGACCAGAUUGGAAGAUAUCUUGGGACCUUUCCUGGCAACCAUUACAAAUUGGAGUCCUUAGGUGCCACUGUAAUAGAAAUAAACAACACGGACAUAUUGUUUGGCUUA
Mauremys reevesii (Reeves's turtle) is the source of this 480-nucleotide long non-coding RNA. RefSeq lists it as uncharacterized. The record is from RefSeq and is a predicted model, not a curated record. The transcript has 3 exons. NCBI's taxonomy places the organism in Eukaryota, Metazoa, Chordata, Testudines, Geoemydidae.